GACGAACGCUGGCGGUGUGCUUAACACAUGCAAGUCGAACGGAAAGGCCCUGCUUUUGUGGGGUGCUCGAGUGGCGAACGGGUGAGUAACACGUGAGUAACCUGCCCUUGACUUUGGGAUAACUUCAGGAAACUGGGGCUAAUACCGGAUAGGAGCUCCUGCUGCAUGGUGGGGGUUGGAAAGUUUCGGCGGUUGGGGAUGGACUCGCGGCUUAUCAGCUUGUUGGUGGGGUAGUGGCUUACCAAGGCUUUGACGGGUAGCCGGCCUGAGAGGGUGACCGGCCACAUUGGGACUGAGAUACGGCCCAGACUCCUACGGGAGGCAGCAGUGGAGAAUAUUGCACAAUGGGCGGAAGCCUGAUGCAGCAACGCCGCGUGCGGGAUGACGGCCUUCGGGUUGUAAACCGCUUUCGCCUGUGACGAAGCGUGAGUGACGGUAAUGGGUAAAGAAGCACCGGCUAACUACGUG
RNAcentral lists this ribosomal RNA (468 nucleotides) under uncultured bacterium. RNAcentral's name for it is "partial 16S ribosomal RNA". It matches the Rfam family "Bacterial small subunit ribosomal RNA", at positions 28 to 507 of the family's 1533-position model. The record is from RNAcentral.